Long non-coding RNA from Magnolia sinica, 2891 nucleotides. RefSeq lists it as uncharacterized. Lineage: Eukaryota; Viridiplantae; Streptophyta; Magnoliopsida; Magnoliales; Magnoliaceae. The record is from RefSeq and is a predicted model, not a curated record. The transcript is spliced from 2 exons.
UUCUGAUAUGGCAUAAUUUUUGUUCUUGAUAUGGCAAGAUGCCUUUGACUUACUAUGCUCUUAUUCAUUAUGGAUUUGAAGAUUAGGAAUGUUAAGGUCCCAAUUUUAAUCUUUGUCUUUGACUUACUAUGCUCCUAUUCAUCUGUCAUUAUUUUUCACUCAAAUCAGUUUACAGGUGCUUGUUUUGCCAGUUCUGUGGGACACUGGUUGAUUAUCUUUAGCCAUCCAUUUGAUGGGCCACCAUUUGUAAGGAUAGGAGCCCCAUUAGUAUUAAGCAUUAAGGUAUUCUACAUCAUUAGAACCCCAGUUAGUAUGAUUUGGAUGUUUGUAUGUGCAUGCCAUGUGUGGUAGAUGCAGAUAGUGGUGAAACCAAAGCUUAGUUAAAUUGUUCCCUACAAUAGACAUGUCACUGACAGUUACAAUUACAUUCUUUGGGGAUAUCCUGCUUUAUGGAAGUGAGAUUCUUCAAAUGUCUGUAAGAUAGCAUUCUCUUAUAAUCAUAAUAAAGAAGAGCACAUCUUUGAUAAACAUAAUAAAGAAGAGCACAUCUUCAAAAAUAUUCAUCCCUGUUUGGGGCAUGGGAAGUUAUUUCAUACUUUGGUAGAGUUUGAUGCAUGAUGCACAGGCACUUAGAGAUAAAGAUCUGUAGAUGCGACGUGCAUUAUCUCAUUAUGCCAUUCAAAUUUUGGGGUCCACUGUAGAUACAGGUUAUAAUUUGAAAAUCAGAUUGGUUCAACAAUCUUAACCUUGAUUUGUGGAAACUUAUUUGUUGAACAAUUGGAUUUUUUUAUUUUUAUUUUUCAAUUUUAACCAUCUGAUACUUGUCCACCAAUUGGCUAGUUUGGUAAUCAAUUCAAGGUAAUUUUUGGAUUAUGAUGCAUCUAAGUUGGUGCUGACAGAUUAAUUUGAGUUACUUGUAUGUCACAUAUAUCAACCAUCACAUCUUACCAAAGUUGUUAUGCCUGAAAGCUACAUCUGCAGAAAUACUUUACAGUUAAAUAUAUCCCUUGAAUUUGUGGAUUAUGUGAUUAUGACAAUAUAUCUCAUGAUUUACAAGAUAAGCCUAUAUUUUCCUCAUAAAAUGAGCUUAUGGUCUAAUUUGACAAAUUGUCUUUUACUAUUUUUUCUGUGUAAUUUUGUGUUCAUGCUACUUCUAUCAGCAACAUGAAUAUAGAACGGAUCCUUAUCUAUUUGUCUUAACAAUAGUGAGAUUGAGGAAAGUGAACUCUCUGAUGCAAGCUCAACAAAUUUGAAAGAAGAUGGAUCUUCACCAUCCCUAACUCUAAUCAGAAAGCAGGGAUGGUAUUCAGAUAAACUUUCAUAUCUAAAAGGAAAAGUGCCUUCCUAGAUAGGAAUUCCAACAUCAGUUGCCCUACCCUUUGGAGUUUUUGAGAAGGUUUUGUUAGAUGAUUCAAACCAGGUUUGUCUCAUCUCAUCUCAUGUCACUUAAGCGUAUCCAACAUCAAUCGAAUGCUAAUUCUAACAUAUUGACCUUUGAAACCUUUCCAAAAUUAUCAGAAAUGACAUAGGUGAUUAUCAAGCAAAUGCUAGAUGUGUAUGCCUAGAUGAGGGCUUCACUUGGUGAGGCAUGCAUUUCAUUCUCAUGUUUUGAUUUUUGAAGAUUUUUUUCUUUUUAUUGUUUGAAUUAUGUAAAAGAAAGAUGAUUGAUGUGGUAUGUUUUUGUUGUAUUUUUUUUAAUGAGAUUUUAUGGAUUUUUUUUUUUUUUAAAUUGUUUCUUUGAGUGUGGCGUUUCAGGUGAAGAGAAGGAUAAAUUUGGUUUAUGGGGGAGGGAGUGUGGGAUUAAUGGGUUUGAUCUCCCAAGCUGUUUAUGAUGGAGGCUGCCAUGUUCUUGGGUAAGAAAUCAGGCCCUCAAAAAUAGAAUUUAUUUAUUAUUAUUAUUUUUUAAAGUUCUGUUCAUGAAAGCUUUUGGUAUACCAGCUAUGGAUUUCUGGGAUUAGUGUCUUUUUAGUAUCUUUCUUUUAAUGUGACUGGCAAGGUACCAUGGAUAUAGGUUAUGACAACAUUAUUUAGUUAUUUAUUUUUGUAAAUUGAUGAUUUCAUUAAACCUCAAAAAGUGUCAUGACAAAAAUUUUCGCACAAUGGAAUGCUCUGUUAAGCCCCAUCUUUUAUUUAUUUGUUUGUUUUUUCUUUUUAGUUUUUUGAGAGAUGGUUAAACCUAUAAUUGUGCUGUGUGACAUUUUCCUUCUCUUCAUAAAGUGAGCACCAUGGUUUAGUACAACUCUAACAUGAUAUGCAAAAUGGUUGUUUUGAACUACAGUUCUCUGUCAGAGUUUGGUGUCCUUGGAUUCGAGUUGGGUUAUUCAAUGGAAAAUCCAAAUUCUUGGUUGUGUGGGAAGCAGUUGAUGCAUGUCUUGUCGUCAUCUGAUAGGGAAGAAGACAACUGAACUUGAAAUAUGCAAUGGAUAGAAUCGUAACACUGGAAAUAUAAAAGCUACCACGUGUAGCAUGUCAUCAGGUUUAGAGAUGAAGCUUGAUGAGCUGCGGAAAGAGCUCUCUUCAAGUCAUGAAGGAAUAUUGCCACAUACCAUUCUUUCCACCCAAUAGAUCAGCACGUUAAGCGCCGAAAAACCAACUUCCAUGGAGCAGCUAAGGAGUAGCCUGGUUCUGACUAUCAUAGGAGUAGUUUUCAAAGGCCUAAUGGUGGGUGAUCCACUCUUCUCAUUGCAUACAAGUGGGGCAAUCCAGAGUUCAAAUCACUUCAGCCUUUUGACGCCACUCGUGCUAGGAGUAGACCAUAUAGAGGAUUUGUUUUUAUUUAUUUAUUUAUAUUCAAGACCAUUUAUUGCAAUAAAUUUGUUUAAUAUUCAGUUUUAUUUGUAUUGCAUCAUUUUUAUGUUUUAAAUAUUUAAAAAAUACAGGUUUUGAUUGAA